AGAAAACAUAGAGGUGGGUUUUAAUUUGAGACAGCAGAUGACCACCUUUUUUUUUUUUUUUUUGAGAGGGAACGGAGGACAAAUCCAAUGGUGGUGGAUUAAAAACUUGCUCUUAGUUUUCCAUCUCCAGCUUUUAUUAUUUAUUUAAUCAUCCCCAUGUCUCUUAAAGCGGGGGGGAGGAAUCGCGUUCUUUACUGCACUAUGUCAUCUGUAUUAGCUGAGGCUAUUUUCAUUGAGUGCUUAAGCUAAUCAGUUUGUGUUUCUUCCCAGAGUGGAUUACAAAGUGCUCAUGUGCUUCUGUCACCUGCCGAAUUUAUGGAGUGCUAAUCUGGUGAUUUUUGAUGGAAGGACAUAUCAGACAGCUGAGGUUUGGUAUAAUUUUGAGCCAGCAUGUCUGCUCAUACAGAGAAUGUCUGUACGCUGCCUUUAGGAUGAUCAGACAUGUAAGCUUCCAGAUCCAGGCUUCUUAACAGGACCCCCAAAUAGCGAGCUGUUGCCGUUACAAGCCCAGUGCCUUUCUUUCCAAGGGUGCUUCUUCAGCAGAGCCAUCAGAAGCCAGUGCAGUGGCCAGUGCUGGCUCAAGCUGGCCUGUAUGGUGUGUGGAGCAAGCUGCUUCCUUGGUAUUCCAGCCCAGCAUCUCCUCUGAAGCAGUGUGUACUGGAAGAUGCAGUGGUUGUUCUUCUCAUACGGGAUUGCCUGGAGGCUGCAGCCAGCUGGAGAUUGGCCUUUUCCCCCUCUUGGAAGGGGGAAGCCUGAAGUGCAUUGACCCAGCUGG
Molecule: long non-coding RNA, 775 nt
Organism: Oxyura jamaicensis (ruddy duck)
Lineage: Eukaryota; Metazoa; Chordata; Aves; Anseriformes; Anatidae
Exons: 3
Source: RefSeq, a predicted model, not a curated record